This 1461-nucleotide long non-coding RNA is filed under the name Crocodylus porosus (Australian saltwater crocodile). RNAcentral's name for it is "lncRNA (ENSCPRG00005006288.1)". Lineage: Eukaryota; Metazoa; Chordata; Crocodylia; Crocodylidae. The record is from RNAcentral.
GUGCAAGCAACACCAGUUUAAAUUCAUAUGUCUCUUAAUCUUGCACCCAUUCAUAAAUACACAGUUUACAUUUUCUUUACACAUCGGCUCUGUACCAGCCCUAACAGCAUCAAUAGUACGACUUGCAUGGCAAGAUGCCAGAAACAAGAUAUAUAUUGGUCCAGAAAACUGGAAGCAAAGCAGAUUAUACAGAUGGAACAGAGGGCACAAACUAGGGAGCAAUCUGUGGCUGCUACAAAGGCAAGGAAAGAAAAUGCUUUUAUUUUGUGCCUGUUACUUUUAAUUAAGUCUCCAUCAGGGCUUUUCUAUACGGGGUCUGAGAUUAUCAAGCUCAGAAGUAGGGGAAAUAAUGAAUCUAAAAACAUGAAGAACUGCAUCUACCAAAAGAAUUUGGGUGGCUCAGGUGCUGGAGAACAUUAUAUAAAUGUGGCAGAAGAGUUAGGAAGUAGCUAAAGACAAGAAAACAGUAUGCAGCAUUUUCAGCAUCUUGACUGGGAAGGGAAAAAAACAGAGCAGAGAAAUGGUGAACAUUAAUCCAAUAUUUCCUUAUGCUGGCACAGCAGCUCUGGAUACACAACAGGAGAUCACACUUUGGAGCAGCUGACCCAGAAAGCUGGUUUUUGCGUGACUGAACUGAUACACACUUCUGGGGCAAUGGCUUUGGACAACUUGCUGCAACCCAAAAUCAUCAGUGACUUCCAUGCAAAAUGAUUAGUCUCUCUUUCCUUAAUGUUUACAUCCUUCAAAUACUGGUAGAAAAUAACAAGGGUUCCCUUUAGUCAUUGUUUAAACAACUGUUCAUAAUUUCUUCUGUAAAUCUCUCCUCAGAUGUCAAUCACUCCAGUCCAUUUUCCGUAUUUGUUGCUCUUUCCAGUCUUCCUUCCAUUUUUGUCUGCAUAUUUUUAUAUUGAGGUGCUUAAAGCUGAAUGCAAAGACUGCAAAAUAUGUUGUUAUUGUAUCAUUUAUUAUUACUGAUAUUAUCUUUAAAUCACUCAAGUAAACACUGAAUUUAUUGCAUACUGUCCUACAAUACAUUUUUAAGAGGUCUUAAUAUUAUUCAAAACCUUCACUGUGCUAAGCUCUAUAAGCACCUAUCACGAGUAAGACAGUCCCGGCCACAAGAAGCCAACAGCCUUAGUAUACUGUGAAGGAACACAUGGAGAAAAACAAAUGGGAGAAAACAAGGUAAUAAGUGAACGUCUUCAUUCUGCGUAUCUGAAAGGAAACAUGAUCUGGAUAUGCCAAAAACUUUACUUUAUAGUGAUGCUUAACAAAGCAUUGGGAGAGUAGACAGGGAAGAGGAGAAGAAAAUGUUUAGCACAUGAUGCAUUGCAUAGUAGUUCAUUGAAGCAUGGUAUGAAGUCAAGGGGGAAACAUGAAAUUAUAAUGAGGUUGGCUAAGAAAGAUGCUAAAAUAGUCUGCAAAAAUGAGAAAUAAACUAUAAUAUUGCCACCUGAAUCA